CCUACGGGAGGCAGCAGUGAGGAAUAUUGGUCAAUGGGCGAGAGCCUGAACCAGCCAAGUCGCGUGAGGGAGUACUGCCCUAUGGGUUGUAAACCUCUUUUGUCGGGGAGCAAAAGCCGGACGUGUCCGGCUGUGAGAGUACCCGAAGAAAAAGCAUCGGCUAACUCCGUGCCAGCAGCCGCGGUAAUACGGAGGAUGCGAGCGUUAUCCGGAUUUAUUGGGUUUAAGGGGUGCGCAGGCGGGUUUUUAAGUCAGCGGUAAAAUCGUGGGGCUCAACCCCAUCCAGCCGUUGAAACUGGGGAUCUAGAGUGUGCGAGAGGUAUGCGGAAUGCGUGGUGUAGCGGUGAAAUGCAUAGAUAUCACGCAGAACCCCGAUUGCGAAGGCAGCAUACCGGUGCACAACUGACGCUCAGGCACGAAAGCGUGGGUAUCGAACAGGAUUAGAUACCCUUGUAGUC
Molecule: ribosomal RNA, 458 nt
Filed under: uncultured bacterium
Lineage: Bacteria
Description: partial 16S ribosomal RNA
Rfam family: Bacterial small subunit ribosomal RNA
Source: RNAcentral